Molecule: ribosomal RNA, 253 nt
Filed under: uncultured bacterium
Lineage: Bacteria
Description: partial 16S ribosomal RNA
Rfam family: Bacterial small subunit ribosomal RNA
Source: RNAcentral
UACGUAGGGUGCAGGCGUUAAUCGGAAUUACUGGGCGUAAAGCGUGCGCAGGCGGUUUCUUAAGUCAGAUGUGAAAUCUCCGGGCUCAACCCGGAAACUGCCAUUGAUACUAUUAGUCUUGAAUAUUGUUGAGGUAGGCGGAAUAUAUCAUGUAGCGGUGAAAUGCAUAGAUAUGAUAUAGAACACCGAUUGCGAAGGCAGCUUACUAAACAAUUAUUGACGCUGAGGCACGAAAGCGUGGGGAUCAAACAGG